This 465-nucleotide ribosomal RNA is filed under the name Vreelandella stevensii. RNAcentral's name for it is "partial 16S ribosomal RNA". It matches the Rfam family "Bacterial small subunit ribosomal RNA", at positions 338 to 795 of the family's 1533-position model. The record is from RNAcentral. Lineage: Bacteria; Pseudomonadati; Pseudomonadota; Gammaproteobacteria; Oceanospirillales; Halomonadaceae.
CCUACGGGUGGCAGCAGUGGGGAAUAUUGGACAAUGGGCGAAAGCCUGAUCCAGCCAUGCCGCGUGUGUGAAGAAGGCCUUCGGGUUGUAAAGCACUUUCAGUGGGGAAGAAAGCCUUGGGGCUAAUACCCUCGAGGAAGGACAUCACCCACAGAAGAAGCACCGGCUAACUCCGUGCCAGCAGCCGCGGUAAUACGGAGGGUGCGAGCGUUAAUCGGAAUUACUGGGCGUAAAGCGCGCGUAGGCGGUCUGAUAAGCCGGUUGUGAAAGCCCCGGGCUCAACCUGGGAACGGCAUCCGGAACUGUCAGUCUAGAGUGCAGGAGAGGAAGGUAGAAUUCCCGGUGUAGCGGUGAAAUGCGUAGAGAUCGGGAGGAAUACCAGUGGCGAAGGCGGCCUUCUGGACUGACACUGACGCUGAGGUGCGAAAGCGUGGGUAGCAAACAGGAUUAGAUACCCUGGUAGUC